AUACGUAGGGGGCGAGCGUUGUCCGGAAUGAUUGGGCGUAAAGGGCGCGUAGGCGGCCCGGUAAGUCUGGAGUGAAAGUCCUGCUUUUAAGGUGGGAAUUGCUUUGGAUACUGUCGGGCUUGAGUGCAGGAGAGGUAAGUGGAAUUCCCAGUGUAGCGGUGAAAUGCGUAGAGAUUGGGAGGAACACCAGUGGCGAAGGCGACUUACUGGACUGUAACUGACGCUGAGGCGCGAAAGUGUGGGGAGCAAACAGGAUUAGAUACCCUGGUAGUCCACACUGUAAACGAUGAAUGCUAGGUGUAGGGGGUAUCGACCCCUUCUGUGCCGCAGUUAACACAAUAAGCAUUCCGCCUGGGGAGUACGACCGCAAGGUUGAAACUUAAAGGAAUUGACGGGG
This 397-nucleotide ribosomal RNA is filed under the name uncultured bacterium. RNAcentral describes it as "partial 16S ribosomal RNA". It matches the Rfam family "Bacterial small subunit ribosomal RNA", at positions 523 to 918 of the family's 1533-position model. The record is from RNAcentral.